RNAcentral lists this long non-coding RNA (1283 nucleotides) under Monodelphis domestica (gray short-tailed opossum). Its description in RNAcentral is "lncRNA (ENSMODG00000037363.1)". The record is from RNAcentral. Lineage: Eukaryota; Metazoa; Chordata; Mammalia; Didelphimorphia; Didelphidae.
AACUAAUACAAAAAAAUGAGACCCACAUUUUGGAUAUGUUUAGUGUGGGAGUUUGUCUGGUCUGACAAAGUUUGUUGCAAAGGUUUUUAUUUUCCCUUUCUUUCUUUCUUUCUUUCUUUCUUCCUUUCUUUCUUUCUUCCUUUCUUUCUUCCUUUCUUCCUUUCUUUCUUUCUUCCUUCCUUUCUUUCUUCCUUCCUUUCUUCCUUUCUUCCUUCCUUCCUUUCUUUCUUUCUUUCUUUCUUUCUUUCUUUCUUUCUUUCUUUCUUUCUUUCUUUCUUUCUUUCUUUCUUUCUUUCUUUCUUUCUUUCUUUCUUUCUUUCUUUCUUUCUUUCUUUCUUUCUUUCUUUCUUUCUUUCUUUCUUUCUUUCUUUCUUUCUUUCUUUCUUUCUUUCUUUCUUUCUCUCUCUUUCUUUCCUUUCUCUCUCUUUCUUUCUUUCAUUUCUUUCUCUCUUUCUUCCUUCUCUCUUUUUCUUCCUUUCUUUCUCUCUCUCUCUUUUUCUCUUUCUCUCCUUCUUUCCUCCCUAUCUCCCUUCUUCCUGCCUUCCUACAGUCACCCAGACAGUAUGUCUUAUUUAUUUAUUUAUUUGUUUUUUUCACACCCCCUUCUCACAUUAUAGAAAGCUAAAUUAUGUCUUUGGUGUUUCCACUUCUCAGUUAAUUCUCUGAAGGACAGUCCGUUUUAUUGUAAGGUAACAGAGGCAGGGCUUGACCUCAGCUCUCCCUGAUUCUGAGAUCUGCUUUCUGUCCUAUCCCUCCCUCCCAAAGGCUGGCCUUUAUUUUAUUUACAUAGCAUGCUUGGUGCCACACUCAGAAGCACAUCAUUCCCUACUUCACCUUCUCCCUAAUUCUCUCUCCCUAAUUGGCAGCUGGUCUGCUACACAGAGCAAAAUGUGAGCAGAAUCUAUUCCCACAUCAUCUCUCAGGAAAGUUCCAUGUUCCCAGCUUAGCACAUGGGCAGUCUACCACCCCCUCAGCUUUUUCACACUUCUCAAGAUGUCCAUCACCAGGAUUUUUUUUCUCUUGAUCUUUUUUCUCCUGUUCUUCCCUUCCUAUUAAAGAUGAUUAAGGGGAAGAUGGACACCCAGAUUUUCAGCCAGUUUCAAUCUUUCCUGACUGGAGAUGAGCAGACAAAGGAGAGGGGAAUAUGGGAGGAUCUAUCUGGGUCAUGUCCAACCCUGAUGAGUUCUCCCUUUAAGGUUACUUUCUUCAGUUUUUGCAGACACUCCCCCCUUCAUCCCCCAAGGCAGUACCAUCAUUUGUUAGCCUACAUUCUGAAACAUCCU